RNAcentral lists this antisense RNA (75 nucleotides) under Streptomyces viridochromogenes. RNAcentral's name for it is "ASpks sRNA". It matches the Rfam family "ASpks TB sRNA". Lineage: Bacteria; Bacillati; Actinomycetota; Actinomycetes; Kitasatosporales; Streptomycetaceae. The record is from RNAcentral.
CUUCACGGAACCGAGCCACAGCGGCUGUUCGGCAUCCCUGUCCUGCCCAUAGGUGGCGAUCAGGGCCUGUGCCUC